CAGAACAAAUUACCAAAUCCUGAAACACAACAGCAAAACACGGAACAAAUUACCAAAACACAGAACAAAUUACCAAAUCCUGAAACACAACAGCAAAACACGGAACAAAUCACCAAAUCCUGAAAUCACAACAACGAAAGCGGAGACACAUUUUUUUUUAUUGUAUUACUACAAUAAAAAUUACUACAAUAUUUAGCACGGCAAGGAUUCUGGGUCACUUUCGGUGUUUUGCACUUCCCGGCCACCCGGCCGAGGAGUGCAAAACACAACAGCAACAAGAGCUGCUAAUAAAGGUUGAUACAGGAAGUGACGUAACGAUAACGUCUAUGAUUCGUUGUUGAGCUCCACGCGGUUAGUUAGCGGCAAAAUCAGUCGGGUCCAGAACAGGUCACUAACUCGAGCCAGGUGAGGCUAAACAAUGUUUUGCCCUUUUUGUGGGGUCCAUUUUGGGGCAUUUGUAGCCUUUUGUGCAUCUUGUGGACGGUCUCUGGAGCUGUUACAAGGCACGGAGCAAGCCGGAAGAUCAGAUGUCCUGCAACACUGUAUCAAGUAUUUCAAUGAGGGUCACACGUACAGCGUUAUUUUGGACAUACUAUUGAGUUUGCAUUGUGUAAGGAUGAGUUUGAGGACUCUUAAAAGUAAACUUAACCAGUCUGGGCUGUAUCGAAGAAAGUAUUAGCUCAAGAACAGCUGUAAUUAAUGCAAUCAGAGCAGAACUUCGUGGGCCUGGCCAACUCUUCGGUUAUCGAACUAUGUGGCAGGUGCUAAAAUAAAAGCACCAACUCCAAGUGAAGAGAGAUACUGUAAUGGAGUUACUCCGGGUACUGAAUCCUCGAGGAUGCCAGAGCAGAGCUCGCAAACGAUUCAUCAGGAGAACCUAUCAUUCCCUGGGACCUAACUACAUGUGGCAUGCCGAUGGCUAUGACAAACUUAAACCAUUUGGUUUGGCCAUUUCAGGAUGCAUAGAUGGAUUUUCUCGUAAAGUUCUGUGGCUCAAAUGUAGAGCAACAAAUAAUAACCCAACAGUUAUCGCUCACAAUUUCCUAUCAUGUGUACGAAACCUCAGUGUAGUCCCCAUGAGGCUCAGAACUGAUUGUGGUACUGAAAGGGGCAUCAUGGUUGCUGUUCAGUAUACACUACGCCACCAACACAAUGACCACUACAGCGGAGAGUCCAGCCACAUGUUUGGUUCAUCUACCAGUAACCAGCGAAUUGAGUCCUGGUGGUCUAUCGAAAAGGAAGGGCUCAGUUUUGGGUGGAGCUAUUUGCUGAUCUGAGAGAUGCUGGCCACUUUAACGGGAGUCAGGAGCAUCAGAGGCUGUUGAGAUACAGCUUUGGUGAUGUUGUUCAAAAAGACCUAGAUGAGUGUGUGAAGCUAUGGAACACUCACCGAAUCCGUCCUUCGAAAACAGCUUCAUGUCCAGGAGUGCCCAAUGAGCUGUACUAUUUACCUCACAGGUAAUGUGUUGUUGGUUAUUAUUUGCUUAAAUGUAAAUAAAUACUGUUGUCUUCCAUUUUAUUCAGGCAUGGGUCCAGGGACUGUGGAUUCAUUAUUCAACAUGAUGAGCUGGAUGCUUUCCCCGAAUCCAGUCUGUCACUACCUUCAUGCGGGGACCCAAACACGCAGGAGUACCUCGACUUUGUUAUGGAGCACAAUCGUUUUCAAAAGCCAGAAAACUGGGAGUCAGCCUCAGAACUAUACAUGACGCUCAAAGAAAUUGCUCGGCUCUAAAUUAGGAUGAAAUAAAAUUACCACUGUAACUAAGUGCAUGUCUUUUGUUUUUGAUGGUUGAGCUGCUAAAAGUCUGCAUAUGAUUUUUCCAUAGUAUUUUUUGAUUUUGUAGUCUGUUCACCCAAAAGCGAUAGGGAUGUGUGACUAAAUGUUACAUUCUAAAAAAUAAACAAACCAUAAAAAUCUGAAA
This is a non-coding RNA of Oryzias latipes (Japanese medaka), 1922 nucleotides long. The record is from RefSeq and is a predicted model, not a curated record. Lineage: Eukaryota; Metazoa; Chordata; Actinopteri; Beloniformes; Adrianichthyidae.